This 1039-nucleotide ribosomal RNA is filed under the name fungal endophyte. Its description in RNAcentral is "eukaryotic LSU rRNA". The stretch from base 461 to 1039 matches the Rfam family "Eukaryotic large subunit ribosomal RNA", at positions 1 to 591 of the family's 3401-position model. Lineage: Eukaryota; Fungi. The record is from RNAcentral.
ACUCCCAAACCCCUGUGAACAUACCAAUUGUUGCCUCGGCGGAUCAGCCCGCUCCCGGUAAAACGGGACGGCCCGCCAGAGGACCCCUAAACUCUGUUUCUAUAUGUAACUUCUGAGUAAAACCAUAAAUAAAUCAAAACUUUCAACAACGGAUCUCUUGGUUCUGGCAUCGAUGAAGAACGCAGCAAAAUGCGAUAAGUAAUGUGAAUUGCAGAAUUCAGUGAAUCAUCGAAUCUUUGAACGCACAUUGCGCCCGCCAGUAUUCUGGCGGGCAUGCCUGUUCGAGCGUCAUUUCAACCCUCAAGCCCUCGGGUUUGGUGUUGGGGAUCGGCGAGCCCUUGCGGCAAGCCGGCCCCGAAAUCUAGUGGCGGUCUCGCUGCAGCUUCCAUUGCGUAGUAGUAAAACCCUCGCAACUGGUACGCGGCGCGGCCAAGCCGUUAAACCCCCAACUUCUGAAUGUUGACCUCGGAUCAGGUAGGAAUACCCGCUGAACUUAAGCAUAUCAAUAAGCGGAGGAAAAGAAACCAACAGGGAUUGCCCUAGUAACGGCGAGUGAAGCGGCAACAGCUCAAAUUUGAAAUCUGGCUCUCGGGCCCGAGUUGUAAUUUGUAGAGGAUACUUUUGAUGCGGUGCCUUCCGAGUUCCCUGGAACGGGACGCCAUAGAGGGUGAGAGCCCCGUCUGGUUGGAUGCCAAAUCUCUGUAAAGUUCCUUCGACGAGUCGAGUAGUUUGGGAAUGCUGCUCUAAAUGGGAGGUAUAUGUCUUCUAAAGCUAAAUACCGGCCAGAGACCGAUAGCGCACAAGUAGAGUGAUCGAAAGAUGAAAAGCACUUUGAAAAGAGAGUUAAAAAGUACGUGAAAUUGUUGAAAGGGAAGCGUUUAUGACCAGACUUGGGCUUGGUUAAUCAUCUGGGGUUCUCCCCAGUGCACUUUUCCAGUCCAGGCCAGCAUCAGUUUUCCCCGGGGGAUAAAGACUUCGGGAAUGUGGCUCUCUUCGGGGAGUGUUAUAGCCCGUUGUGUAAUACCCUGGGGGGGACUGA